Molecule: RNA transcript, 4258 nt
Organism: Zeugodacus cucurbitae (melon fly)
Lineage: Eukaryota; Metazoa; Arthropoda; Insecta; Diptera; Tephritidae
Gene name: leucine-rich repeat protein soc-2
Exons: 6
Source: RefSeq, a predicted model, not a curated record
AUCCAAAAUCAAAACUUGUCAUUAACACAAAUUAAUUUUAUUAUUUUUUUUGCGUGCGUCGCUCAUUUUCUUUUCAAAAAUUGUCGCAUGUUUUUCUCACUGUGUUUGUUUCGCUUCGUUUUUUGAACGUUUUCUGUUUAUUUGCGUGAAAUUUUGUAUACGAAAUUUACACAGUGAGAUCGCAAAGCAAAUCGCUUUUCGCUAAUCGUACUUGAACUAAUAUAAAAAAAAUUGUUGUCCGUGUGCCAAAAUAAUAUUUAUUAGAAUAAAAAUAGUCUCUUCGAAGAAUAAAUAGAUUUUGCAAAAAAUGUAAAUACAAACGAAGAAAAAAACUCAAUUUUUUUUUAACGAAAUUUCAAUUUUCAAAAUUUAUUGUGUUUAUUGGAACCUUUUCGAAGAGAGUGCAACGUGAGAUUGUGUAUAUUCACUGAGUUGUCGCAUUUUAGAUUUCGUGUAACUUUCAUGUUCGAUUAGCAUGCACAUCGGUGCGCAGGUGAAGGCAUCAUUCCCUGUUUUAGUGCCACAGUGUUGCAAAAACCACCGAAUCGACAGCGCCGCAUCAGUCUGUUUAGUACUUUGGAUCGCUUUGCCGCGCUCGCGUUUCGAUAAGACGUCAACAGAUACUGUUUCGGCUGCGUUUUUUAGAAAAUUUUUUGUUGAUCUUCGUCUUCUUGUAGUAUCGGUAGUACACACGAAGGCUCAGCUGUGAUAUAAUUUAACAAAUUUGAAGAAAGUGUAGUUUUUUAGUGCAAAAAUUAAAAUAAUACUAAUCCAGUGCUAUAAUAAAAAUUGUGUAAUAAAUAGCCAUAAAUAGUAUAUAUCGUGAUAUUGAGCGCUCUAUAUAGCAUAAUAGUGUAUAGUAAACGUCACCAAAGUGACGGCACUUAUCGUUUCUUUUUUUUGCUCACACUCGUCGCCCUUCCGUGGCCUUACAACAACGAAAAUUGCUCAAGAAAAGACGCGUCUACCCUUUCCCAUACCACGGUACACCACCAUGAACAAGACGACUCUACACUGGAGUUAUCUCAACUUCAAAGAUGUGCCUAUGGAUCUCUACCUCUAUGAGGACCUCGAAGAGGUGUACUUGAAGGAGAACUUCAUCACCACAAUUCCCAAAUGGCUGCUGAAUGUAACAACUCUCAAGUUCAUACACUUGGCUGGUAAUAAUUUGAGCGCUAUACCCGAGGAGAUGUAUCUGCUGGAAAAUCUGGAAUUUCUCGAUGUCUCAAAUAAUCAAAUACGCGAACUUCCGAAAACUGUUGGACUGAUGGACCGUUUGCAACGUUUGAAUGUGAGUGGCAACGAGCUGACAGAGUUGCCCGCCGCUUCAGAUCUUAUGAAACCGGGCCAUGGCAUAGUCGUCACCGACGAAUCUCCAUCACAGUUGGAUCGUUUAAUGGAAUUAUUUGGUAUGAAUUCCUCAAAAGAUAUGCGCAUACAGUACCGUAGCCUAUUAUUCUCCGUUAAGGGAGAAUUCGACGAGUACGUGUCUGGUGUGGCUGUGCACCCGGAGGUAUUGGAUCAAACCACAGCCAACGGUUGUGCACUACACUGUCAGUUGCGGCGUAAGAAUGUACUGGUUGGUGUCACGGUGGAUAGAGGGCUUGUGCCGUUACUAUGUACCUAUGGAGAGUACACCACGCAGGGACUAGAUGGUUUGGCUGACCGGUGUGCCGAAUAUAAGGAUUGCGGUUGUGAUUUCACCAUGUGGCGCGCACAGUUCAAUAUUGGCGAGUAUUCGCCUUCCUACCAGGCCAUAAUGGAUAAUGCAAGUAACUUGGCCAAAUUCGCCGCCAUCUCACAAUCGAAACGCAUGCUGCCGAUCUUAGAAGUGGAUGUAGUGCCCUCGGAUGACAAUGAUAUGGAACGUGCCGAAAAAGUCGCGGAGACAAUUUUAAUAUUUAUUUAUAAGUCACUUUGCGAUCAUCAUGUCAAUCUUGAGGGCACUUUACUAAAAUUCCCAGCAUUAAAUCCGGGUCCAAAGUGCGCCAAACGAUACUCGCCGGGUCAGAUUUCAAAAGCAACAUUACGCUUACUGAGACACGUCGUGCCUGCUUCGGUCAGUGGUAUAAUUUUGCAUGUUGAUGGCAAGACGGAAGAUAAGAGUCUGUGUCUGCUAAACACCAUAGUAAGUGACCCAUCGCCGAAACCGUGGCCCAUAAUAUACAGCUUCGAUGGCAUAUUACAGUCAUCAAUUAUGAUGGCUUGGGGAGGUCAAACCAAGAACACGCAGAAGGCACAGCAAGAGUUUCUAAAAAUGCUGGAAGCAUUCUCCAAGGCUGCCCAAGGCGCUUAUGUACCCGGUUCGAUGAAAUCUCUAGCCGAUCAGUGUUACUGUAAAAAAGUUUUUAAAGCUUUGAAAACGAAACCUGAUCCGCUACCAGAUGAUUGUGUUAGAUAUGAUGAAAUAUGUCGACCCCCCAAUCUAACGCCGAACGAUAUGAUGCCAGUACCUGUUGCAACUGGAGAGUCAGCCGUAGUUGUCACAAUCGCAGCAAUUAAAACGGAUGAAACCGUAUUGGCGCUAGGAGCUAUAACUGAGAUAGACGAGGCCGCUCCCGCACCUGAAGGAAAGGAAGACCCUCCAACUGAGCCAACAGAGAAACCACCAUCAGUUAGUCAGUAGAACUACAGUACAAAAUGAUAUACUUUACAAAAGUUAUGGAUAAGGGAAAUAUAACCAUUUCGUCGAAAUUCCACUAUUGGAACAAGGACCACCAGCCUAUUUAUCAAUACAUAAAUGAAAUUAAUUUAGAAAAUUUUAGUCUCACCGUCCCACAAACUAUGGGAAUGGAAUAUGUUGGAAUGAAGUUAUAUUAGAUAGAACCACCACAAUUCUGUUUACAAUUUUGAUUCCACAUGGAUAGCUAAAACUCCAUCGUCCUCAUUUUGACGAAUCGAAAUAUGGGCACGUCCAUCGGAGCCCACCACAACUGAUUUUCCUGUACAUGAUGAACCAGACUUUUCUCCGGAGAUGAUGUCACAGUAGGUGCCGGCCGGUAGGCAGGUCUGCAAGGAGGUGUUCAAAUCGUAGUUAUCAUUGUUGAACGCUAUGAAGGCCUUAUUGCCACGACAGAAGGCGAUUUGACUGCUGCCAUUGUCCCACCAGUUCUGCAAAUUUGUACCGGAGGCGAUGUUUCUGAAGCCAGCCAUGUUGGCAAUUUGCCGCCAACGAUGUUCACAAACCCAACCACCACUGCAGGAAUUAUCAGCGUUGAUACGAGGACUAGCAAUGUUGUUACCAUCGGUUGUUGGUGGACCUUGAUCGGAGUUGUCGAAAGCAAACGAAGACAUGACACGAGGAAUACCGAAUGGAUGAGCCAACAUGAAGGCAUUGGCCAUUUUGUAUUGUUUGCCAUUUUUGUAGGUGAGAAUAUCACCACCUCCGGCACCAUGUCCACGUUGAUUAUCGUGAUUGUCCACAAACACAAAUGCACUGGUCGAGGAGAGGAAACCCCAUUCCGGACCCCAAUUGGUUAGCCAGCGUAGUUGAUCGUGACCUCUGAAGGAUCUACCAAUUGCAGCGGAAUGACGGAAUUCGGUUACCACACCCAAGUCAGUGUAUUCGUAUUUGGAUAUUGCUUCGCCACCCAAAUCUAUGACCUCUUGGUAAAUAAAUGGACGAGAACCACCAGCGAAACCGUGUUCCGUAUUCAAGUUAUUCAAACGGUUAUAGAUGUUCUGAAAUUAUUCUGUUUUAGACCAACUGUAUACCAUUUCAGGUUUUCAUGUUCUAAUUACCUUUAAAUCGGAUGGCCACAUGUGUUUGGCGGCAUCAACUCGGAAACCAGCAACACCCAAAUUGAUCAGUUUGUUGAGGAAAUCAAGAAUCCGAUCUUGCACCCACGAUUUACUUUGAUCAAGAUCUUUCAAACCAACCAACUCGCAGUUACGGACUUGAUUAGCAUCGUUGUAGUUGUUGAUGGCACAGGUGGCAUGGAAAUCAGUGCUGGAGAAGGGAACCGCGGGAUAACUCUUGCUACCGGGAUUAGCUGUUGAGCCUGCAGUUCCACGGACGUUGGAAUGAUCAGCGGCCAUAUGGUUGAAAACCACAUCCACAUAGAUACGAACUCCGGCGUUGUUACAACGUCUCACCAUAUUAGCAAACUGUUGCUCGUUACCCGAACGAGUAGUCAACAGAAAUUGGUGCAUUGAAACAGCUCGAAGAGCUCAACAUAUCCAAGAAUCACAUUCAACGACUGCCUAUACAGUUAAGCGAGUGCCAGCGCUUAAACGUGCUUAACCUCAGUGACAAUGC